Molecule: transfer RNA, 83 nt
Filed under: Candidatus Roizmanbacteria bacterium
Lineage: Bacteria; Candidatus Roizmaniibacteriota
Description: tRNA-Tyr
Rfam family: tRNA
About the family: Transfer RNA (tRNA) molecules are approximately 80 nucleotides in length.
Source: RNAcentral
CCAGAGGUGGCGGAGCGGCCAAUCGCACUAGACUGUAAAUCUAGCGGGGUAACCCUACGGAGGUUCGAAUCCUCCCCUCUGGA